Molecule: ribosomal RNA, 759 nt
Filed under: uncultured bacterium
Lineage: Bacteria
Description: bacterial SSU rRNA
Rfam family: Bacterial small subunit ribosomal RNA
Source: RNAcentral
GAGAGCUUGCUCUCUGAUUCAGCGGCGGACGGGUGAGUAAUGCCUAGGAAUCUGCCUGGUAGUGGGGGACAACGUCUCGAAAGGGACGCUAAUACCGCAUACGUCCUACGGGAGAAAGCAGGGGACCUUCGGGCCUUGCGCUAUCAGAUGAGCCUAGGUCGGAUUAGCUAGUUGGUGAGGUAAUGGCUCACCAAGGCGACGAUCCGUAACUGGUCUGAGAGGAUGAUCAGUCACACUGGAACUGAGACACGGUCCAGACUCCUACGGGAGGCAGCAGUGGGGAAUAUUGGACAAUGGGCGAAAGCCUGAUCCAGCCAUGCCGCGUGUGUGAAGAAGGUCUUCGGAUUGUAAAGCACUUUAAGUUGGGAGGAAGGGUUGUAGAUUAAUACUCUGCAAUUUUGACGUUACCGACAGAAUAAGCACCGGCUAACUCUGUGCCAGCAGCCGCGGUAAUACAGAGGGUGCAAGCGUUAAUCGGAAUUACUGGGCGUAAAGCGCGCGUAGGUGGUUUGUUAAGUUGGAUGUGAAAGCCCCGGGCUCAACCUGGGAACUGCAUUCAAAACUGACAAGCUAGAGUAUGGUAGAGGGUGGUGGAAUUUCCUGUGUAGCGGUGAAAUGCGUAGAUAUAGGAAGGAACACCAGUGGCGAAGGCGACCACCUGGACUGAUACUGACACUGAGGUGCGAAAGCGUGGGGAGCAAACAGGAUUGGAUACCCUGGUAGUCCACGCCGUAAACGAUGUCAACUAGCCGUUGGGAG